Molecule: ribosomal RNA, 253 nt
Filed under: uncultured bacterium
Lineage: Bacteria
Description: partial 16S ribosomal RNA
Rfam family: Bacterial small subunit ribosomal RNA
Source: RNAcentral
UACGGGGGGGGCAAGCGUUGUUCGGAAUUACUGGGCGUAAAGGGCUCGUAGGCGGCCAACUAAGUCAGACGUGAAAUCCCUCGGCUUAACCGGGGAACUGCAUCUGAUACUGGAUGGCUUGAGUUCGGGAGAGGGAUGCGGAAUUCCAGGUGUAGCGGUGAAAUGCGUAGAUAUCUGGAGGAACACCGGUGGCGAAGGCGGCAUCCUGGACCGACACUGACGCUGAGGAGCGAAAGCGUGGGUAGCAAACAGG